This 75-nucleotide transfer RNA is filed under the name Thermosulfurimonas dismutans. RNAcentral's name for it is "tRNA-Gln". It matches the Rfam family "tRNA". Rfam says of the family: Transfer RNA (tRNA) molecules are approximately 80 nucleotides in length. Their secondary structure includes four short double-helical elements and three loops (D, anti-codon, and T loops). The record is from RNAcentral. Lineage: Bacteria; Pseudomonadati; Thermodesulfobacteriota; Thermodesulfobacteria; Thermodesulfobacteriales; Thermodesulfobacteriaceae.
UGGGGGAUCGUCUAAUCGGCAGGACAGCGGGCUCUGGACCCGCCAGUCCAGGUUCGAAUCCUGGUCCCCCAGCCA